CGAUUGCRUCACYUCCUGAAGUCUGCAGAAAAACUGCCAAAGAAUGACAGCGAAACCAACUGGGACAAUGAUAUGUCCUCCCUGCUGCUUCAUCUCCYCCCACCACCAGCACGAGGGAAGAGGACCAAGAUCAGUGCCAGUGCUUGUACCCUUUCAUAAGUCAUGCUGAAGCAUUGAAGACCAUCUUGAUGGGAGCCACGGUCGACAGCCAUACCUCCUUGCCGUCGGAAGAAGACAGAGCAAGAUUGAYAACUACUACAUCGUGGUGGACAAGAGGCUUGUCCCCUGCCAGGAAAUUAGUGUUCUGAGUGCUUUUGAUGAACUGUUCAAAGCCCACUUUGUCUUCAACCUGACGUAUGAUGAUGCUCUUGUCAACUUCUGCACAUUAGUGCAGACAACCAUCUACAACAUUGAUGUAGGCAAMACAAGAGAGGCCCCUAGCUUGAUAGAGUUGAGGACAAAACUUCUUAACUAGAUAAAUGUAUGUUACGGUGCUUUUGUUGUCAAGCGUUGCACAGAAACAGACAGUCAUGGAUAUCUCAUGUGAGAAUUGAGCAUAGCUUCUAUCCCUCCACAAAGUUUAGAUUGGUCUGUGCUCAAGAUGCUUGUAGAUGGCAGUUUUCAACAUACUCAGUUUAUUUUGUUUUAUAGUAUUCAUAAGGAUAUUAGUCAAGUAGUUGAUGCAUUAAGCUUAGAAGGGCUCUCUCAUGUUGCUGAUACUCCAGUACAGUCAGAAGCUCCACAAAUGGGUGGCGACAUUGGUGUCCCACAUGAUAACACUCAAAGUGAUUGUUUUGAGAAGAAUGGACAGUCUUGAUAAAGAUAUGUGUUUCUCCAUCAUUGCCAAAUAGCAAGCUAGUGGUGUUGCAAAUAGUGUUGUGUCAAC
Non-coding RNA from Salvelinus sp. IW2-2015, 886 nucleotides. Lineage: Eukaryota; Metazoa; Chordata; Actinopteri; Salmoniformes; Salmonidae. The record is from RefSeq and is a predicted model, not a curated record.